UACGAGGGGUGCAAGUGUUGUUCGGAAUCACUGGGCGUAAAGGGAGCGUAGGCGGGAAUGCAAGUCAGGUGUUUAAUACCGGUGCCUAACAUCGGUGCUGCACUUGAAACUGCAUUUCUUGAAUCUGUCAGAGGUAGAUGGAAUUCUUGGUGGAGCGGUGGAAUGCGUAGAUAUCAAGAGGAACACCAGUGGCGAAAGCGGUCUACUGGGACAAGAUUGACGCUGAGGCUCGAAAGUGUGGGGAGCGAAUAGG
RNAcentral lists this ribosomal RNA (253 nucleotides) under uncultured bacterium. Its description in RNAcentral is "partial 16S ribosomal RNA". It matches the Rfam family "Bacterial small subunit ribosomal RNA", at positions 524 to 776 of the family's 1533-position model. The record is from RNAcentral.